Molecule: ribosomal RNA, 793 nt
Filed under: uncultured archaeon
Lineage: Archaea
Description: bacterial SSU rRNA
Rfam family: Archaeal small subunit ribosomal RNA
Source: RNAcentral
ACGGCUCAGUAACACGUGGACAACCUGCCCAAAGGUCCGGGAUAACCCCGGGAAACUGGGGAUAAUACCGGAUAAAUCACAGGUACUGGAAGGUCUUGUGGUUGAAACUUCCGGGGCCUUUGGAUGGGUCUGCGGCGGAUUAGGUUGUUGCCGGUGUAACGUACCGUCAAGCCUGUAAUCCGUACGGGUUGUGGGAGCAAGAGCCCGGAGAUGGAUUCUGAGACACGAAUCCAGGCCCUACGGGGCGCAGCAGGCGCGAAAACUCUACAAUGCAGGCAACUGCGAUAGGGGAACAUCGAGUGAUACUCAUCUUGGGUGUCUGUCCUCCCGUCUAAAAAACGGGAGUUAGCAAGGGCCGGGCAAGACCGGUGCCCGCCGCCGCGGUAAUACCGGCGGCUCGAGUGGUGGCCGAUAUUAUUGAGUUUAAAGGGUCCGUAGCCGGCUUUGCAAGUCUUUUGGGAAAUCCAGCGGCUUAACCGUUGGUCGUCCGGGAGAUACUACRUUGCUUGGGACUGGGAGAGGUAGGAGGUACUCAGGGGGUAGGAGUGAAAUCCUGUAAUCCUUUGGGGACCACCGGUGGCGAAGGCGUCCUACCAGAACAGGUCCGACGGUGAGGGACGAAAGCUAGGGGCACGAACCGGAUUAGAUACCCGGGUAGUCCUAGCCGUAAACGAUGCUCGCUAGGUGUCACAACAAUCGUGAAUUGUUGUGGUGCCGUAGGGAAGCCGUGAAGCGAGCCACUUGGGAAGUACGACCGCAAGGUUGAAACUUAAAGGAAUUGGCGGGGGAGCAC